Molecule: ribosomal RNA, 19 nt
Filed under: Ficus tequendamae
Lineage: Eukaryota; Viridiplantae; Streptophyta; Magnoliopsida; Rosales; Moraceae
Description: partial 28S ribosomal RNA
Source: RNAcentral
ACGCGACCCCAGUUCAGGC